This is a non-coding RNA of Vicugna pacos (alpaca), 325 nucleotides long. The record is from RefSeq and is a predicted model, not a curated record. NCBI's taxonomy places the organism in Eukaryota, Metazoa, Chordata, Mammalia, Artiodactyla, Camelidae.
UCUCUCUUUUCUUCUUGGUAAGGCUGCCUAGAGGUUUGUCCAUUUUGUUUACUCGUUCAAAAAACCACCUCUUGAUUUGAUUGCUUUUCUUUCUAUUGUUUUUUAAAAAUCUCUAUUUUAGUUAUUUCCUCCCUGAUCUUUAUUAUUUCCUUCCUUCUGCUGAUUUUAAGUUUUGUUUGCUCUUUUUUUCUUAAUUCUUUUAGGUAAUAGGUUAGGUUAUUUACUUGAGAUUGUUCUUGGUUUUUGGGAAGGCCUAUAUUGCUAUGAAUGUCUCUCUUUGGACUGAUUUUGCUGCAGCUCAUAGAUUUUCCCAAAUUCUUUUCCA